CUCAGCUACGGGGACAUGGUGCCCAAGACGAUCGCUGGGAAGAUCUUCGGGUCCAUCUGCUCCCUGAGCGGCGUCCUGGUCAUCGCCCUGCCGGUGCCCGUGAUCGUCUCCAAC
Non-coding RNA from Myotis lucifugus (little brown bat), 114 nucleotides. Lineage: Eukaryota; Metazoa; Chordata; Mammalia; Chiroptera; Vespertilionidae. The record is from Rfam.